UACAAUGGAGAGUUUGAUCCUGGCUCAGGAUGAACGCUAGCGGCAGGCCUAAUACAUGCAAGUCGAACGGACUCAGGGGCUUCGGUCCCUGGGUUAGUGGCGCACGGGUGCGUAACGCGUAUGCAACCUACCUUCUAUUGGGGGAUAGCCCACCGAAAGGUGGAUUAAUACCGCAUAACACCAUGACAUGGCAUCAUGUUACGGUUAAAGUUUCGGCGA
This 219-nucleotide ribosomal RNA is filed under the name Pontibacter diazotrophicus. Its description in RNAcentral is "partial 16S ribosomal RNA". It matches the Rfam family "Bacterial small subunit ribosomal RNA", at positions 1 to 218 of the family's 1533-position model. Lineage: Bacteria; Pseudomonadati; Bacteroidota; Cytophagia; Cytophagales; Hymenobacteraceae. The record is from RNAcentral.